This 497-nucleotide ribosomal RNA is filed under the name uncultured bacterium. RNAcentral describes it as "partial 16S ribosomal RNA". It matches the Rfam family "Bacterial small subunit ribosomal RNA", at positions 28 to 507 of the family's 1533-position model. The record is from RNAcentral.
GAUGAACGCUGGCGGCGUGCCUAAUACAUGCAAGUCGAGCGAACAGACGAGGAGCUUGCUCCUCUGACGUUAGCGGCGGACGGGUGAGUAACACGUGGAUAACCUACCUAUAAGACUGGGAUAACUUCGGGAAACCGGAGCUAAUACCGGAUAAUAUAUUGAACCGCAUGGUUCAAUAGUGAAAGACGGUUUUGCUGUCACUUAUAGAUGGAUCCGCGCCGCAUUAGCUAGUUGGUAAGGUAACGGCUUACCAAGGCAACGAUGCGUAGCCGACCUGAGAGGGUGGUCGGGCACCCUGGGACUGAGGAAAGGGCCCGAAUCCUAAGGGAAGGAAGAGUGGGGAAAUUUCCGCCAAGGGGGGAAGCCCGAACGAGGCAACGCGGGUGGGUGAAGAAGGGCUUCCGGUUCGAAAAACCCUUUGAUUGGGAAAAACAAAUGUGUAAGUAACUAUGCACGUCUUGACGGUACCUAAUCAGAAAGCCACGGCUAACUACGUG